RNAcentral lists this ribosomal RNA (535 nucleotides) under uncultured Glomus. RNAcentral's name for it is "SSU rRNA". It matches the Rfam family "Eukaryotic small subunit ribosomal RNA", at positions 569 to 1092 of the family's 1831-position model. Lineage: Eukaryota; Fungi; Glomeromycota; Glomeromycetes; Glomerales; Glomeraceae. The record is from RNAcentral.
AGCAGCCGCGGUAAUUCCAGCUCCAAUAGCGUAUAUUAAAGUUGUUGCAGUUAAAAAGCUCGUAGUUGAAUUUCGGGAUCAAGGGAUCGGUCAUGCCUUGGUAUGUACUGGUUUUAUUGGUUCUCACCUUCUAAAGAACCAUAAUGUCAUUUAUUUGAUGUUAUGGGGAAUUAGGACUGUUACCUUGAAAAAAUUAGAGUGUUUAAAGCAAGCUUACGCUUGAAUACAUUAGCAUGGAAUAAUGAAAUAGGACAUCAGAUUCUAUUUUGUUGGUUCUAUUUUGUUGGUUUCUAGGAUCGAUGUAAUGAUUAAUAGGGAUAGUUGGGGGCAUUAGUAUUCAAUUGUCAGAGGUGAAAUUCUUGGAUUUAUUGAAGACUAACUACUGCGAAAGCAUUUGCCAAGGAUGUUUUCAUUAAUCAAGAACGAAAGUUAGGGGAUCGAAGACGAUCAGAUACCGUCGUAGUCUUAACCAUAAACUAUGCCGACUAGGGAUCGGAUGAUGUUAAUUUUUUAAUGACUCAUUCGGCACCUUACG